This 443-nucleotide ribosomal RNA is filed under the name uncultured bacterium. RNAcentral's name for it is "partial 16S ribosomal RNA". It matches the Rfam family "Bacterial small subunit ribosomal RNA", at positions 338 to 795 of the family's 1533-position model. The record is from RNAcentral.
CCUACGGGUGGCUGCAGUGGGGAAUAUUGGACAAUGGGCGCAACCCUGACCCAGCGACGCCGCGUGAGUGAAGAAGGCUCUCGGGAUGUAAACUUCUUUUAGUCGGGACGAAACAGAUGACAGUACCGAAUGAAUAAGCCACGACUAACUACGUACCAGCCGCGGCGGUAAUACGUAGGUGGCAAGCGUUAUCCGGAUUUACUGGGUGUAAAGGGCGUGUAGGCGGGAGAGCAAGUCAGACGUGAAAUUCCAGGGCUCAACCCCGGAACUGCGUUUGAAACUGUGCUGCUGGAGUGAUGGAGAGGCAGGCGGAAUUCCGGGUGUAGCGGUGAAAUGCGUAGAUAUACGGAGGAACACCAGCGGCGAAGGCGGCCUGCUGGACAUUAACUGACGCUGAGGCGCGAAAGCGUGGGGAGCAAACAGGAUUAGAUACCCUGGUAGUC